Hypomesus transpacificus is the source of this 997-nucleotide long non-coding RNA. RefSeq lists it as uncharacterized. The transcript is spliced from 3 exons. Lineage: Eukaryota; Metazoa; Chordata; Actinopteri; Osmeriformes; Osmeridae. The record is from RefSeq and is a predicted model, not a curated record.
UACAUUUUACAUGUGAUGUUGAUAAUAUUUAAAGAACCUGAAAGUACUUAAAGUAAGCUUUGAGGUUGGUUUUCUGAAGUGAACUAAAAAUGUCUCUCUUUCUCCCUCUCCAUCCCUCACCCUCCUUCGUCCUGCAGGCUGACUCUGAAGAACCAUCACUGUGACUCCUUGGUGACUUCACAAUGUCCUGCUGACCAGCAUUUCUCCUCUAUCACAUUGGCUCUCUAUCUCUCCUGUACCUUGUAUCCACUCUGUCUACACGUUGGCUCUCUGUCUCUCCUGUCACAUCUACCACUCUGUCUUUUGCAUUUGGCAACUCACACUUUGUAUCCCCCUCUAUCCCACUCUGAUGUUGGUUAUCUUUGGCAAAGGAAUGGAACAAACUCUGGAGCCCUUUUUCUGAACUGAAUUUUGGACUAAACCUCGGUCACAAGGACUUGUCUGUUGGCUCGACUUGGGCUACCGGUACCCGCUUUAUCUGAUUUGAAUAAUCUGAGAGGCUCUCUUCUCUCACCCUCAGCUCUUACCUCUCCUGUCUACAUACACUUAUCUAUAUAAAACACUUGCUGUUUUUACAACUUAGACUAAGCAUUAAUGCUAUUUCUGAGACUUUUUCCAACACAAUUGGUUUGAACAAAACUGAAAAGUGAAUUCAGAAACUAUAAAAGACAACACAUAACAUACACUUUUUUUGUAAUUGAUAAUUGACAAGCUACAUUUCCAAAUAUAUAAUUUGUUAUGAAAGUUCAUCAUUAAAUUAACAUAAUUCAAGCUCUCUUGUUACUUAACAUAAAAAGCUAUUGUAGUAAAAGUCUAUAUUAUGAAAUAAGUUAAUUUCCUGAUCGUUGUUGCUUUGGAGCUCUGCUGUUUGUACCUAAAGCUUUGUUUUGGUAGCAGAUAUCUUCACUCUAGAACGUAACGUACAUUAUUUCAAUCAUUCACUGUGUAUGUGUGUUUAGUUGAUUUACUUUGUUCAUACUGAAAUAAAACAAAGCCA